AUACGUAGGGCGCGAGCGUUGUCCGGAAUUACUGGGUGUAAAGGGAGCGUAGGCGGGAGUGCAAGUCAGAUGUGAAAUACAUGGGCUCAACCCAUGGGCUGCAUUUGAAACUGCAUUUCUUGAGUGAAGUAGAGGUAAGCGGAAUUCCUGGUGUAGCGGUGAAAUGCGUAGAUAUCUGGAGGAACACCGGUGGCGAAGGCGGCUUACGGGGCGUUUAAUGACGCUGAGGCUCGAAAGCGUGGGGAACAAACAGGAUUAGAUACCCUGGUAGGCCACGCUGUAAACGAUGAUUACUAGGUGUGGAGGGACUGACCCCUUCCGUGCCGCAGUUAACACAAUAAGUAAUCCGCCUGGGGAGUACUGCCGCAAGGUUGAAACUCAAAGGAAUUGACGGGG
This 396-nucleotide ribosomal RNA is filed under the name uncultured bacterium. RNAcentral's name for it is "partial 16S ribosomal RNA". It matches the Rfam family "Bacterial small subunit ribosomal RNA", at positions 523 to 918 of the family's 1533-position model. The record is from RNAcentral.